This 478-nucleotide ribosomal RNA is filed under the name uncultured bacterium. RNAcentral describes it as "partial 16S ribosomal RNA". It matches the Rfam family "Bacterial small subunit ribosomal RNA", at positions 28 to 523 of the family's 1533-position model. The record is from RNAcentral.
GACGAACGCUGGCGGCGUGCUUAACACAUGCAAGUCGAGCGAUGAAGUUCCUUCGGGAAUGGAUUAGCGGCGGACGGGUGAGUAACACGUGGGUAACCUGCCUCAUAGAGGGGAAUAGCCUUCCGGAAGGAAGAUUAAUACCGCAUAAGAUUGUAGUUUCGCAUGAAACAGCAAUUAAAGGAGCAAUCCGCUAUGAGAUGGACCCGCGUCGCAUUAGCUGGUUGGUGAGGUAACGGCUCACCAAGGCGACGAUGCGUAGCCGACCUGAGAGGGUGAUCGGCCACAUUGGGACUGAGACACGGCCCAGACUCCUACGGGAGGCAGCAGUGGGGAAUAUUGCACAAUGGGGGAAACCCUGAUGCAGCAACGCCGCGUGAGUGAUGACGGUCUUCGGAUUGUAAAACUCUGUCUUCAGGGACGAUAAUGACGGUACCUGAGGAGGAAGCCACGACUAACUACGUGCCAGCAGCCGCCGUAA